ACGGAAGGCAGCAGUGAGGAAUCUUGCACAAUGGGGGAAACCCUGAUGCAGCAACGCCGCGUGAACGAUGAAGGCCUUCGGGUUGUAAAGUUCUGAUCUGAGGGAAGAAACAAAUGACAGUACCUCAGGAGAAAGCCCCGGCUAACUACGUGCCAGCAGCCGCGGUAAUACGUAGGGGGCAAGCGUUAUCCGGAAUUAUUGGGCGUAAAGAGUGCGUAGGUGGUUACCUAAGCGCAAGGUUUAAUCUUGAGGCUUAACCUCAUUCUGCCUUGCGAACUGGGCUACUUGAGUGCAGGAGGGGAAAGCGGAAUUCCUAGUGUAGCGGUGAAAUGCGUAGAUAUUAGGAAGAACACCGGUGGCGAAGGCGGCUUUCUGGACUGUAACUGACACUGAGGCACGAAAGCGUGGGGAGCAAACAGGAUUAGAUACCCUGGUA
RNAcentral lists this ribosomal RNA (436 nucleotides) under uncultured Mogibacterium sp. RNAcentral describes it as "bacterial SSU rRNA". It matches the Rfam family "Bacterial small subunit ribosomal RNA", at positions 341 to 792 of the family's 1533-position model. The record is from RNAcentral. Lineage: Bacteria; Bacillati; Bacillota; Clostridia; Peptostreptococcales; Anaerovoracaceae.